Oryctolagus cuniculus (rabbit) is the source of this 651-nucleotide non-coding RNA. NCBI's taxonomy places the organism in Eukaryota, Metazoa, Chordata, Mammalia, Lagomorpha, Leporidae. The record is from RefSeq and is a predicted model, not a curated record.
GCGAAGCCCCCCGCACAGGCUCACGGCGGCGAACGAGUCUGGCUCGGCGUUCACGUCCCCGGAGUACAAACAGCGCCGCAAGUCCGCAGAGUUCGCGGUGAGCUCCCGGAGCGGGGCGCCCAGGUGCUCGGUGGUGAAGGAUCUGAAGACUCUUGGGAAAGAAAAAGCAACGGCCUGGACCAUUCUGUCACCUCUGGACAGCUCAGCUGGGCCUUGUGCCCUUCACCAACCAGGCUGGCCUCCUCACCUGCUUCAGGCCUCAGCCCUCAGGCGGCCUCCUUGGGACUGACCACCCAGUCCCAAGCCACAGUCCGCAUGUUUCAUCUUGCCCAUAGCACUUUCCUCUCUCUAAACCUACGUAUGCUUGAAUCUUGGCUUUUUUAUCGACCUAUGUCCCUGCCCCCACUGGAAUGAGAGCAGGACCUAGUCUGUACUGCUGCCUCCUCCAUAGCAGCGACACUCCAGGACCCCUAGCGGAUGCCUGGGACUGCAGGUAGGUCCAAACCCUUGCUAUACUGGUUUUUCCUGUACAGGCAUACCUAAGAUAAAAUUUACUUUAUAAAUUAGGCACAGCAAGAGAUUAACAACCAUUAGUGACAAAACAGAACCAAUUAUAACAAUACACUGCAAUAAAAGGUAUUUAAAACUCGG